CAGCACCUCAAGUGGUCAGGAUGAUUAUUGGGCCUAAAGCAUCCGUAGCCGGCGCUGUAAGUUUUCGGUUAAAUCUGUACGCUCAACGUACAGGCUGCCGGGAAUACUGCAGAACUAGGGAGUGGGAGAGGUAGACGGUACUCGGUAGGAAGGGGUAAAAUCCUUUGAUCUAUUGAUGACCACCUGUGGCGAAGGCGGUCUACCAGAACACGUUCGACGGUGAGGGAUGAAAGCUGGGGGAGCAAACCGGAUUAGAUACCCGAGUAGUCC
Molecule: ribosomal RNA, 270 nt
Filed under: uncultured archaeon
Lineage: Archaea
Description: partial 16S ribosomal RNA
Rfam family: Archaeal small subunit ribosomal RNA
Source: RNAcentral